RNAcentral lists this transfer RNA (67 nucleotides) under Metapenaeus intermedius. RNAcentral's name for it is "tRNA-His". It matches the Rfam family "tRNA". From Rfam's summary of the family: Transfer RNA (tRNA) molecules are approximately 80 nucleotides in length. Lineage: Eukaryota; Metazoa; Arthropoda; Malacostraca; Decapoda; Penaeidae. The record is from RNAcentral.
GUUUAAAUAGUUUAAAUAAAACGUCGGUUUGUGGUGCCGAAAAUAUGAUAUAAGUUCAUUUUAAACC